GAUGAAGAACGCAGCGAAAUGCGAUAAGUAAUGUGAAUUGCAGAAUUCAGUGAAUCAUCGAAUCUUUGAACGCACAUUGCGCCCGCCAGUAUUCUGGCGGGCAUGCCUGUCCGAGCGUCAUUUCAACCCUCGAACCCCUCCGGGGGGUCGGCGUUGGGGAUCGGCCCUUUACGGGGCCGGCCCCGAAAUACAGUGGCGGUCUCGCCGCAGCCUCUCCUGCGCAGUAGUUUGCACACUCGCAUCGGGAGCGCGGCGCGUCCACAGCCGUUAAACACCCAACUUCUGAAUGUUGACCUCGAAUCAGGUAGGAAUACCCGCUGAACUUAAGCAUAUCAAUAAGCGAGGA
RNAcentral lists this unclassified non-coding RNA (346 nucleotides) under soil metagenome. RNAcentral's name for it is "partial contains 5.8S ribosomal RNA, internal transcribed spacer 2, and large subunit ribosomal RNA". The stretch from base 1 to 120 matches the Rfam family "5.8S ribosomal RNA", at positions 35 to 154 of the family's 154-position model. The record is from RNAcentral.